This is a long non-coding RNA of Pectinophora gossypiella (pink bollworm), 1089 nucleotides long. RefSeq lists it as uncharacterized. The transcript is spliced from 4 exons. The record is from RefSeq and is a predicted model, not a curated record. NCBI's taxonomy places the organism in Eukaryota, Metazoa, Arthropoda, Insecta, Lepidoptera, Gelechiidae.
UCCCCGUUCACUUCGCUAUUCACUUCACUUACGAACUCGAUUUGAUCUGUCAAAUAAAAAGUUGAUGUUCGUCGAGUGAAAUCUAUACGUUUAUUAGUUAUUUGCUAGUGAUAUCGUGUCUAAUAAGACUCAAUAAGUUUCAAUUAAGGUAAUUUAACAGAUUAAUGUUUAAAAAACUUUAGUGUAGUAUUUUAUCUGGUGCUAGUGUACAUGUUUCUUCUGUUGAAAAUCGCUCAAAUGUUUUUAUUAAAGUGUUUAUUAGAGGAAGCUCAUACUUUGGACAAUUUUGAGUUGCGUCGACAAGCCUAUGAAAUUCGUAGUUUGUCUCUAUUGGCCCGAGAUGAUAACUAUGUCAGCGUAUAUAGUCUUUCGAAGCAAUUAAUCGACCAACUCGAGCUUGAGUUGCUCCCUAUAAUAAAAAAGUACCAAACGUCGAAGAAAAGGACUUACAACUCGUAUUAAGGUUUCAAGAAAAAUUCAUCAUUGGCAGCAUUGAUGGCACUCUCGUAACUUAAAAAGACCGGCUGAGCAUGAAGACUUCUUCUGUCGUAAGAAUUAUCAUGCUAGGAUGUGCAAUUGAAAAAAUAUCAUGUGCAAUUGAUUACAGAUGACAGUUUUAUUUUUAAUGAAGAUGUAAGAGAUCACUUAGAGGCUUUGACAAAUGCUGGUGAAGAAAUUGUUUUGUUCGGUGGUUCUGGAUAUGCUGAGCGGGCUAACCUUAUGACACCUAUAAAUAAUGCCCCAGACAAUACUCCUGAAACAUAUUAUAACAUGCUUACGCAACUCCGUAGAACGCCAAAUGGUUUGUUGAAGACGCUUCAGGUGUUUGUUAGUACACAGGGUCCUAGACUAUCAUCCUGAUAAAGUUGCAAUGCAUGUUGUAUUCUGCAUAACGUGUUCAACCGGGCUGGAAUGGAGGUAGUUAAUUUGACUGAAGAUGAAAACCUAGAGGAAGCUCAGGUGGCAGCCGAGACACAGAGAAGGCAACGUGCCAAAUCAUGAUGAUUUAAAUGUUGGACGGUCGCAAAGGCCUCAAAGGACAAAGAAAAAAAAAGUCAAAGAUCUUGUGAAUAGAUUGUGGUGAUCGCG